AGUGGUUAAGCAUUUGGCUGCUAACCAAAAGGUUGGCAGUUCGAAUCUAUCAGCCACUC
This 59-nucleotide transfer RNA is filed under the name Loxodonta africana (African savanna elephant). It matches the Rfam family "tRNA". Rfam says of the family: Transfer RNA (tRNA) molecules are approximately 80 nucleotides in length. Their secondary structure includes four short double-helical elements and three loops (D, anti-codon, and T loops). Further hydrogen bonds mediate the characteristic L-shaped molecular structure. tRNAs have two regions of fundamental functional importance: the anti-codon, which is responsible for specific mRNA codon recognition, and the 3' end, to which the tRNAs corresponding amino acid is attached (by aminoacyl-tRNA synthetases). tRNAs cope with the degeneracy of the genetic code in two manners: having more than one tRNA (with a specific anti-codon) for a particular amino acid; and 'wobble' base-pairing, i.e. permitting non-standard base-pairing at the 3rd anti-codon position. The record is from Rfam by way of RNAcentral. Lineage: Eukaryota; Metazoa; Chordata; Mammalia; Proboscidea; Elephantidae.